UAAGACGAAGGUGGCGAGCGUUACUCGGAAUUACUAGGCGUAAAGCGUGGGUAGGUGGUUCGGCAAGUCUGUUGUGGAAGCUCCUGGCUCAACCGGGAGAGGCCAAUGGAUACUACCGAGCUUGAAUGUGGGAGAGGUCACUGGAAUUCCUGGUGUAGCGGUGAAAUGCGUAGAGAUCAGGAGGAACACCGAUGGCGAAAGCAGGUGACUGGACCACUAUUGACACUGAGCCACGAAAGCUAGGGGAGCAAACAGGAUUAGAUACCCUGGUAGUCCUAGCUGUAAACGAUGUUCACCAGAUGUGGGAGGUAUCGACCCCUCCCGUGUCGACGCUAACGCAUUAAGUGAACCGCCUGGGGAGUACGGCCGCAAGGUUG
This 377-nucleotide ribosomal RNA is filed under the name uncultured bacterium. RNAcentral's name for it is "bacterial SSU rRNA". It matches the Rfam family "Bacterial small subunit ribosomal RNA", at positions 521 to 896 of the family's 1533-position model. The record is from RNAcentral.